GACGAACGCUGGCGGCGUGCUUAACACAUGCAAGUCGAACGGAAAGGCCCUGCUUUUGUGGGGUGCUCGAGUGGCGAACGGGUGAGUAACACGUGAGUAACCUGCCCUUGACUUUGGGAUAACUUCAGGAAACUGGGGCUAAUACCGGAUAGGAGCUCCUGCUGCAUGGUGGGGGUUGGAAGGUUUCGGCGGUUGGGGAUGGACUCGCGGCUUAUCAGCUUGUUGGGGGGGUAGUGGCUUACCAAGGCUUUGACGGGUAGCCGGCCUGAGAGGGUGACCGGCCACAUUGGGACUGAGAUACGGCCCAGACUCCUACGGGAGGCAGCAGUGGGGAAUAUUGCACAAUGGGCGGAAGCCUGAUGCAGCAACGCCGCGUGCGGGAUGACGGCCUUCGGGUUGUAAUCCGCUUUCGCCUGUGACGAAGCGUGAGUGACGGUAAUGGGUAAAGAAGCACCGGCUAACUACGUG
RNAcentral lists this ribosomal RNA (468 nucleotides) under uncultured bacterium. RNAcentral's name for it is "partial 16S ribosomal RNA". It matches the Rfam family "Bacterial small subunit ribosomal RNA", at positions 28 to 507 of the family's 1533-position model. The record is from RNAcentral.